GUUAAGGUGGCAGAGCCCGGUACUGCAAAAGUUCUAAACCCUUCCUACAAAGGUUCAAAUCCUUUCCUUAACU
Molecule: transfer RNA, 73 nt
Filed under: Chaetodon modestus (brown banded butterflyfish)
Lineage: Eukaryota; Metazoa; Chordata; Actinopteri; Chaetodontiformes; Chaetodontidae
Description: tRNA-Leu
Rfam family: tRNA
About the family: Transfer RNA (tRNA) molecules are approximately 80 nucleotides in length. Their secondary structure includes four short double-helical elements and three loops (D, anti-codon, and T loops).
Source: RNAcentral